ACAACCAGUUCAAUCCACCUUUAGAAAUACUUGGUGGAUCGGUUAUUGGUGAAUGAGGAGAUGAGUGCCUAACGUUGAAUCACCUCACCACCGAAAUUCAGAGGCGGUUUGUCCCCACAUGUUUGUGGCGUUGUAAAAGCUUUACCAGCACUAUUCGCUCGCAUUGUGGGUGCACUGCUUGCCAUUGGAGAAAUCCCCAUUCAUCAAA
This 208-nucleotide unclassified non-coding RNA is filed under the name uncultured Humaria. RNAcentral's name for it is "sequence contains ITS2". The record is from RNAcentral. Lineage: Eukaryota; Fungi; Ascomycota; Pezizomycetes; Pezizales; Pyronemataceae.